This 75-nucleotide transfer RNA is filed under the name Candidatus Woesearchaeota archaeon. RNAcentral describes it as "tRNA-Pro". It matches the Rfam family "tRNA". From Rfam's summary of the family: Transfer RNA (tRNA) molecules are approximately 80 nucleotides in length. Lineage: Archaea; Nanobdellati; Candidatus Woesearchaeota. The record is from RNAcentral.
GGGGCCAUAGGGUAGCUUGGAUUAUCCUUCCAGCUUUGGGAGUUGGCGACCCCGGUUCAAAUCCGGGUGGCCCCA